AAGUCGUAACAAGGUUUCCGUAGGUGAACCUGCGGAAGGAUCAUUAACACGUAUCCAACGUUAAACCCCCCAGUGCGCUCGCACUUUCUUAGAAAAGGUAGCAAUCCCUGGUAAAUCAUUGCCGAACAGUUUUGAUUCAGGGACUUCUGCGUAGACUGUUCCUCUGCUUGUUGGUGUCUGAAAGUGUCACCAGCUCUGUACGAAUGGCGCAGUCACGAUCGCUAGAGGCCGACACGGCCGGCGACCGGGUCACUGGGCGCGAGCCCCCCUCGUCACCUUUGCAUGAAAACGGGCCUGCGCUUAAUUGUGCGGCCACCAAACUCGAACAACUGUUAACAAUGGAUAUCUUGGUUCUC
Molecule: unclassified non-coding RNA, 356 nt
Filed under: fungal sp.
Lineage: Eukaryota; Fungi
Description: partial internal transcribed spacer region
Rfam family: Eukaryotic small subunit ribosomal RNA (bases 1-46)
Source: RNAcentral